This is a long non-coding RNA of Mytilus californianus (California mussel), 361 nucleotides long. RefSeq lists it as uncharacterized. The transcript is spliced from 3 exons. The record is from RefSeq and is a predicted model, not a curated record. NCBI's taxonomy places the organism in Eukaryota, Metazoa, Mollusca, Bivalvia, Mytilida, Mytilidae.
AAAAUUGAAGAUUUAUGGAGAAAAUUUGAGGAAAAGAAAACAACAUUUCCAAGUACACAUACCGAUGCAUUAGAAACAUUGAAGUAUGAAAACAAGGUGUACCCAAUGAAGAGUGUUAACCGAGGAAAAUUUAUUCUCAUAUCAAACGUUCAAGUGAAACCACUAUGCACAAAAACCCAAAACGAGGAAAAGAAGGCACAAAGAUAUGCAGAUUAUCUUCGGAAUUCAGACUUUGAUCUGGUCAAUGUAUUUCAACUUUUUAAAUUCAUGGGAUAUGAUACAACAGACGGUAAACACUUUGGGAAAACAGAAGAGGAAAUCAAGGAGAUAUUGAAACAAAAAUUAAAUGAUAUAGACAAGG